RNAcentral lists this non-coding RNA (30 nucleotides) under Mus musculus (house mouse). Lineage: Eukaryota; Metazoa; Chordata; Mammalia; Rodentia; Muridae. The record is from RNAcentral.
UAGGUAUCCUGUGAUUUCACUUUCAAACUC